AUGCACACCACAUCACACCACAUGCACACCACAUCACACCACAUGCACACCACAUGCACACCACAUCACACCACAUGCACACCACAUCACACCACAUCACACACCACAUCACACCACAUGCACACCACAUCACACCACAUGCACACCACAUCACACCACAUGCACACCACAUCACACCACAUCACACCACAUGCACACCACAUCACACCACAUGCACACCACAUCACACCACAUGCACACCACAUCACACCACAUCACACCACAUGCACACCACAUCACACCACAUGCACACCACAUCACACACCACAUCACACACCACAUACACACCACAUGCACACCACAUCACACACCACAUCACACACCACAUGCACACCACAUCACACACCAUCACACACCACAUGCACACCACAUGCACACCACAUCACACACCACAUCACACCACAUGCACACCACACACCACAUCACACCACAUGCACACCACAUGCACACCACAUCACACACCACAUCACACACCACAUGCACACCACAUGCACACCACAUCACACACCACAUCACACCACAUGCACACCACACACCACAUCACACCACAUGCACACCACAUCACAUACACACCACAUCACACACCACAUGCACACCACAUCACACACCACAUGCACACCACAUCACACACCAUCACACACCACAUGCACACCACAUCACACACCACAUACACACCACAUGCACAGUGAUCAGUUGACAGUCUUCCACUCAUUUUCUUGUCCCUAUCUCACAGCUCUCUCUCUCUUUCUGUCUUCGUCUCCCAUUUUCAUUCUUUCUCUACUCCUUUGUUUUUCUGUUUUACCCUUUCUCUCUGUCAACCUUUUCCUUCUCUUUCCAUCUCUCUCUUCUCUCCUGUUCUUUCUCCCCUCCCUCCCCUCUCCCUUUCAUAUUCUCUCGUUAUCUCUUUUUCUCACUCUUCUCUCUCUCUCUAUCCCACUUUCUCUUCAUCAUUCUAGCCCUCUCCCUCUAUCUCUCUCCUUCCUCUCAACCAUACCCAUUUCCUCUCUGCCUCAAUCCCAGAUAAUUCCUUCUGUCUCAAUCCCAGAUAAUUCCUUCUGUCUCAAUCCCAGAUAA
RNAcentral lists this long non-coding RNA (1113 nucleotides) under Oncorhynchus mykiss (rainbow trout). RNAcentral describes it as "lncRNA (ENSOMYG00000064263.1)". Lineage: Eukaryota; Metazoa; Chordata; Actinopteri; Salmoniformes; Salmonidae. The record is from RNAcentral.